This is a non-coding RNA of Pelobates cultripes (western spadefoot toad), 269 nucleotides long. The record is from the annotation of a GenBank genome assembly. NCBI's taxonomy places the organism in Eukaryota, Metazoa, Chordata, Amphibia, Anura, Pelobatidae.
GACGAGACAAGGCUCCGUGUUGAGGGUCAAGCAGUGGUCUGUUUAAUGAGGGCUACCUGCCCGGCUUUUAUGCAGGUCUCCCACCUGGUGGACACUCCCCUAGGGGACCAGAUGGAAGACUGUGACAAGGGACAGACAAGUAUACAAAUAGGACACACAGUCACAGUAUAUUCCCACAAUGCAUCCUGGCUACCUCCCCUCUGCCCUGGGAGAUAAUUGGGAAGUAACUCAAUUAUCUCCCAAGACAAAGGCAAAACUCCAUUACACAC